AGCUUGUUUACCUCCCAGUGCUCUUCACAUUGAAUGCUGAAAAACAAAAUGAUUUUUUAAUGAAGAAAAGUUUUAAAUUAAAAAUUUACUUGAAAGACACCUCUACAGAAGCUGCAAAAACCUCUAAGCAUGCUUAAUCCCUACAUCUUCUUCAGCUGGGUGAACAAGACCUCAAAUUAGGGUCCCAACUCAUUCCUUUCCUAGACUUCAUAUAGAUUUGAACAGCAAUCAAUAAUCCAAUUUACAUCUCAGCCAACACCUUUUGUGACUACAGCUUCCCAUCAGGCCUGUAUUUAUUUUAGCCCUGUAUCUCCUGAGAGCUGUUUGCACCAUCUUGAUAUCCUAGGAGUACCAACAGAUUGUGUGGGCUGCCAGGAGGAGGAAUUAAAAUUACCUGUCUACUUCCACCUCCCCGAGAUCUAUGGCCUUGGAAUAAUUCUGCAAAUCCUGAAGAAAUAGAAAAACAAUUUUAUAGAGAGGAAAUUGACUUCAUGUGUAUGCUAGGUCACCUCCAGUACUGCGUAUUGAAUACCCAUUGUUGUCAAUCCCAAGAAUCCAAAGCUGCACAACACUGGAGGCGGAAUUUCAUCUUCAAGCAAACUGCUAAGGAAAUGAGAGGGGCGAACCCACUCCAGAAAUCUUUUCAUACCAAGGUUUCUGAGACAAAUGCUGAGAAUUUUCUGCCUUAAAUGAACAUUCUGGUUGAAUCCUUGGAAAAGAGCACAAACUGUCAGGCUAUUUUACAGCUAGUAUUUGGCUAGACUCAGUAAUAAGUGAAACACCCUUCUCAACGGUGAAGAGGUAAUCCUGAGAAACUGUGCUUGGAAGAGUGCUGUUGGUGGAAAACCCUACUGGGUGUAGUGGUUUAUCUUUCUAUUAAGAUAUGUUUCAGCCUUGUUUCUCUGGGGCUUAGGGGACAUGCCCAUUAGCACCCAGCAGUGCAAAAGUUUUCUUUAACUCUUUCUGAUUAUGAUUCUGUUAUGUUAAGAGCUCCUCAGCAGAUGAGGCCAUUGCAGAUUUCCAGGAUGUCUUUCUUAAUUCUGAAUUCUACUCUGAAUAUCAGUUCAAUACGCAGAAUAUGGGGGGAAUUAUUUCUUUUCAAUAAAAGUUAUCAAAUACUCUAUCA
This 1126-nucleotide long non-coding RNA is filed under the name Anser brachyrhynchus (Pink-footed goose). RNAcentral's name for it is "lncRNA (ENSABRG00000017031.1)". Lineage: Eukaryota; Metazoa; Chordata; Aves; Anseriformes; Anatidae. The record is from RNAcentral.